RNAcentral lists this non-coding RNA (722 nucleotides) under Pan troglodytes (chimpanzee). Lineage: Eukaryota; Metazoa; Chordata; Mammalia; Primates; Hominidae. The record is from RNAcentral.
CUCCACAUCACUCCUCAGGGAGGAAAUGAACGCCCAGGCAGGCAGAGCUGUGGGCAUCUACAGCAGGCCCUGUGCUGCUGUCACAACCUCACCCCGGUCCCCUGAGGCGGAUAUCACCAUCCCAUUUCAGAGACAAGGAAAAUGAGGCCCAGGUGCGUGAAGAAACUGGCCUAUCAAGGCAGAGCUAGUGGGUAGCAUGCUGGACUUCUAAGCCUUCCUGAGAAAGUGAACUGCUUCCUCUGAGAUGGGCAUAGGCAUGGCUGUGUGUGCAUCUUGUCCUGACCAUUCCACAGUGGCUGUUAUCACACUCCAUUUACAAGUUGGCUCAGAAAACCGGAGGUGAAGCUGAAGCAGCCCAGCUGGCCCUAAGAAGCCCUGGACGCUCCCUCCCAUCCUCACAUCGUUGAGUCAAUGCUAUUAUUUGAAUGUCUGUGUCCCCUCCAAAAUUCAUGUUGGAACUUAAUCCUUAAGGAGCAGUUUUAAGAGAUGGGGCCUUUAGGUCAUGAGGGCUCUGCUCUAUGAAUGGAUUAGUGUCUUAUAAAAGGGCUUGAGGGGGCCAGUUCCCCCCCUUCAGUCCCAUAUGCCAUGUGAAGACACAGUUCAUGGUGCCAUCUUGGAAGCAGAGAGCAACCCUUAACAGACACUGAAUAAGCCCGUGCCUUGAUCUUGGACUUCACAGCGUCCAGAACAGUGAGAAAUAAAUUUCUGUUGUUUACAAAUUA